UACGAAGGGGGCUAGCGUUGUUCGGAAUCACUGGGCGUAAAGGGCGCGUAGGCGGCUUUAUAAGUCGGGGGUGAAAGCCUGUGGCUCAACCACAGAAUUGCCUCCGAUACUGUAGAGCUUGAGACCGGAAGAGGUAAGUGGAACUGCGAGUGUAGAGGUGAAAUUCGUAGAUAUUCGCAAGAACACCAGUGGCGAAGGCGGCUUACUGGUCCGGUUCUGACGCUGAGGAGCGAAAGCGUGGGGAGCGAACAGG
Molecule: ribosomal RNA, 253 nt
Filed under: uncultured bacterium
Lineage: Bacteria
Description: partial 16S ribosomal RNA
Rfam family: Bacterial small subunit ribosomal RNA
Source: RNAcentral